GGUAAAGAGAAAAGAAAUCCCUGGGAUUGGUAAGGAAAAAAGAUAUCAGAAACCAACACAAAUAAGCUAAGAGAAGGAGCAAGAACUCAAGUUUUCAAUGAAGCAGCUUUCUUAACAGCUCCAAAAGAUUUCUGCUACUGAAUUUACAGUUAAGUCUGUUCAUGGUACGAUGCAGCUGAGCUCGAUGUGGACUGUCAGAACCCCAUUAAAGGAUUUGAAAUAGCUCAGCUAGAAUUCCAUCACCUCCACUAGCUUUGUUCAUGUUGAUGCUUCCUGAGGCCCACUUAACUUCGUAUUCCAGGAUGUCUGUCUCUAGGUGAGUGAUCACACCAUCGUGAUUAUUUGGGUCAUGAAGAUCUUUUUUGUAUUGUUCUUCUGUGUAUUCUUGCCAUCUCUUCUUAACAUCUUCUGCUUCUGUUAGGUCCAUAUCAUUUCG
Molecule: long non-coding RNA, 436 nt
Organism: Bos taurus (domestic cattle)
Lineage: Eukaryota; Metazoa; Chordata; Mammalia; Artiodactyla; Bovidae
Source: Ensembl